CUUUCGACGUCUUUUUUACAUAUAGAAACAUAUCAAGUGGAGAAAAAGACUUCAAGGUUGUCUCGACACACUGAUGUGAGUACAAUCACGAAAACAUCGAUUACACAGGAGGAAACAGAAGGAGAUGUUCGAUAUCUAAUACACACACUUCUCAUACACACUCCAAAGUACUUGUUCUUUUGCAUUUACAGAUACUUAAUCAACAUAUAUAUUGCCACAACAAGAAUGACAAUUCCAAGCACCGCUAGAAGCAUACACAUGCAAGAGCAACCACCCUUUGUGCGUUUGUUCAAAAUUCCAAGCUUUCUCUGCACCCGCUGAAGUCUUGAGUCUGUAACAUCAACAUGUUCGUCCAGGUCAUCAAUAAGUCUUGUUUGCAAGCCAAGUUCUUCAUUAACUGCCAGUGCUAUAUGUUUAGUGCUCAUCACUGUCUCCUCCAGACUCUCAAGGCCCUCAUCUUGCUCUUUCAUAAUUUGCCGUUGAAGACCGACAACGCCAUUAUUGUCAAGACCUGUUGCUCUGCUCAUAGCAUCCACAGGCUUUAUUUCUGGUCCAAGCAAACUGUCCCUAUUCGCGAAGCUUGACAUGUUCAAUGUGGAAGCCAUUUGAGAUACUUUCGAUUUUAAAUUUGCAAGCAUAUCCUUGCGACGGUUCAUCUCUUUCUCUGACAAAGGCUGCUUUCCAGGAAGCUUUGACAGGAUAGACUGUAAGUUAUCAAGUCUAGUUCCUAAAAUAGUAAUCUUCCUCCUUAUAGCGGAUGAAUGACGCUGUGCUUCUGGGCCCGAAGCAGGCAAUGAACUCCUUUCAGAUAUCAUGUUAGUGAUAUCAUCCGCGAGUUUCAGUCCUUCGUUAUACUCCCGGAUCCAUGAAUCUCCAGAAGAAGCCAUUACCUCUUUCUGAUCUGAAUUCACGGUGGCGAUGGUGGAAUUGUGAGAGAAUUUUGGAGAGAGAAACGGCGAGUCGGAAUAAUUUUAAAGAAGACGUGCCGCUAACUUUACCGGCAAAGUUUGUCCAGCUCCAUUGUCCUCUUCGUUAUUGUCUACACGCGCAUUUGGUCAUUAUUG
RNAcentral lists this unclassified non-coding RNA (1064 nucleotides) under Hevea brasiliensis (rubber tree). Lineage: Eukaryota; Viridiplantae; Streptophyta; Magnoliopsida; Malpighiales; Euphorbiaceae. The record is from RNAcentral.